CCAACAUGAGCUCGAACAUCACUAACUGCAUAUUUCCCAUGGUUAACUCUAGUAUAGCCUGGAUACAAAUUUCCAGUACUUGAUCCAUUACUAAUGGCAGGUCCAGUCAAGUUAAAUCCUGGCACCAUAUAGUACUUGAUCUCGAUUUUACCGGAACACUUGUUAUACUUUGAAGAGGAGCAAAGAGUAUUGGAGUAGAGAAGAGACUGCAAAUACACAUCGGUGUUGUCGAUAAAAUGUGCCCAAUACGCUACAAGUAUCUUGAUUUUUGCGUGUUUGGAGAAGACGACCU
This 292-nucleotide long non-coding RNA is filed under the name Panax ginseng (ginseng). Its description in RNAcentral is "long non-coding RNA (PGIN_LNC002769)". The record is from RNAcentral. Lineage: Eukaryota; Viridiplantae; Streptophyta; Magnoliopsida; Apiales; Araliaceae.